AUCUGGCUGGCUCAGUAGAAAGAGCAUGCGACUCUUGAUCUCAGGAUUAUGAGUUCAAGUCCCAUGUUGGGGG
RNAcentral lists this transfer RNA (73 nucleotides) under Canis lupus familiaris (dog). It matches the Rfam family "tRNA". Rfam says of the family: Transfer RNA (tRNA) molecules are approximately 80 nucleotides in length. Their secondary structure includes four short double-helical elements and three loops (D, anti-codon, and T loops). Further hydrogen bonds mediate the characteristic L-shaped molecular structure. tRNAs have two regions of fundamental functional importance: the anti-codon, which is responsible for specific mRNA codon recognition, and the 3' end, to which the tRNAs corresponding amino acid is attached (by aminoacyl-tRNA synthetases). tRNAs cope with the degeneracy of the genetic code in two manners: having more than one tRNA (with a specific anti-codon) for a particular amino acid; and 'wobble' base-pairing, i.e. permitting non-standard base-pairing at the 3rd anti-codon position. Lineage: Eukaryota; Metazoa; Chordata; Mammalia; Carnivora; Canidae. The record is from Rfam by way of RNAcentral. RNAcentral also lists the same sequence under 1 other name.